This 434-nucleotide ribosomal RNA is filed under the name uncultured bacterium. RNAcentral's name for it is "partial 16S ribosomal RNA". It matches the Rfam family "Bacterial small subunit ribosomal RNA", at positions 29 to 507 of the family's 1533-position model. The record is from RNAcentral.
AGCGAACGCUGGCGGCAGGCCUAACACAUGCAAGUCGAACGAACCUUUCGGGGUUAGUGGCGGACGGGUGAGUAACACGUGGGAACGUGCCUUUAUGUUCGGAAUAACUCAGGGAAACUUGUGCUAAUACCGAAUGUGCCCUUCGGGGGAAAGAUUUAUCGCCUUUAGAGCGGCCCGCGUCUGAUUAGCUAGUUGGUUGAGGUAAUGGCUCACCAAGGCGACGAUCAGUAGCUGGUCUGAGAGGAUGAUCAGCCACAUUGGGACUGAGACACGGCCCAAACUCCUACGCGAGGCAGCAGUGGGGAAUCUUGCGAAAUGGGCGAAAGCCUGACGCAGCCAUGCCGCGUGAAUGAUGAAGGUCUUAGGAUAGUAAAAUUCUUUCACCGGGGACGAUAAUGACGGUACCCGGAGAAGAAGCCCCGGCUAACUUCGUG